UUUUGGACUUGCUCUGCAUGUCGGGCUCCCUGCACUUUUGGUGCGGCCAACCGAACAUGGGGCUGUCUCUUCACUCUCCCUCCCGUCAUGGAAUAUGUCGGGGUUGGGAUGCUUGUGAUCGGUUGCCUGUGCGGUUCUACCCACUUUUGGGUAGCGAAGUCGUCCCUCGCUGAUAUUUGCUUGCCYUUCUGACAUUUUUUUGUCGUUUGGGCAGCCGAAAUGUUGGCAAAAUCCUUGUGUUGGUGCGUGGUUGAAUGCCUCGUUGCUAUCACUUGGAUUUUUGCCGGCUCUCACGGAUGCGGUGCCUAGUGCUAAGCUUUGCGGGACUUUGCCCCGCAGACUUCGGGAGGUCCCUUGUACGAGUCAUUGCUCUUAUACGCCGUUUGUCGUGUUGCCGGUGGCGAUACGCAGAUCGUGUUCUGCCGUGUUGUUAUUAACGACACGUCAGAACAAAGUGUCCGGAGCGUGCUCGCGUGCAUGUGGAGUGCCUCUCGUUCGUAUCAGAAGCGAUUUCCGGUUUGCGUCAUGCAAAGGCCCGCCCGUCCGGGCCGGUGCUGGAGCUGACGUGCCGGCUCUCGUUUAAGACGUGC
RNAcentral lists this unclassified non-coding RNA (590 nucleotides) under Carex pyrenaica. RNAcentral's name for it is "partial external transcribed spacer 1". Lineage: Eukaryota; Viridiplantae; Streptophyta; Magnoliopsida; Poales; Cyperaceae. The record is from RNAcentral.